GAUGAACGCUAGCUACAGGCUUAACACAUGCAAGUCGAGGGGAAACGAUAUUGGAAGCUUGCUUCCGAUAGGCGUCGACCGGCGCACGGGUGAGUAACGCGUAUCCAACCUGCCCACCACUUGGGGAUAACCUUGCGAAAGUAAGACUAAUACCCAAUGAUAUCCCACGAAGGCAUCCGAAUGGGAUUAAAGAUUUAUCGGUGAUGGAUGGGGAUGCGUCUGAUUAGUUUGUUGGCGGGGUAACGGCCCACCAAGGCGACGAUCAGUAGGGGUUCUGAGAGGAAGGUCCCCCACAUUGGAACUGAGACACGGUCCAAACUCCUACGGGAGGCAGCAGUGAGGAAUAUUGGUCAAUGGGCGAGAGCCUGAACCAGCCAAGUAGCGUGCAGGAAGACGGCCCUAUGGGUUGUAAACUGCUUUUAUAGGGGAAUAAAGUGAGCCACGUGUGGUUUUUUGCAUGUACCCUAUGAAUAAGGACCGGCUAAUUCCGUG
RNAcentral lists this ribosomal RNA (492 nucleotides) under uncultured bacterium. Its description in RNAcentral is "bacterial SSU rRNA". It matches the Rfam family "Bacterial small subunit ribosomal RNA", at positions 28 to 507 of the family's 1533-position model. The record is from RNAcentral.